This is a non-coding RNA of Schizosaccharomyces pombe (fission yeast), 319 nucleotides long. Lineage: Eukaryota; Fungi; Ascomycota; Schizosaccharomycetes; Schizosaccharomycetales; Schizosaccharomycetaceae. The record is from the annotation of a GenBank genome assembly.
AAAUGAUCGACAAAGGGAUCUACGUUUUCAAACUGUAUGAUCAGAAACGAUUUAGCCCAGAGAGAAUAUACAUGAGUAGAGUAGUUACUAUCUAAACAAAAGGUUUCGAUCCAUUUUCCAACACUCCUUCCAAUAUAUAGCGCUUUUGAUCGCAUGCCAAAAUUUCGAGGAAGGUCUGCUUGCCGAUGUUGCUUCUUGAUUAUAUAGAUGAAACAGUAGCGAAGGCAUUGUAUAAACCAGUAUCCUCUUUCUAUUUUAUUGACCUUCAAUGUAGAAAUCAUGGCACAAAGUGAUUCAAAAACAAAAGUACACAUGGGUC